This 254-nucleotide ribosomal RNA is filed under the name uncultured bacterium. Its description in RNAcentral is "partial 16S ribosomal RNA". It matches the Rfam family "Bacterial small subunit ribosomal RNA", at positions 524 to 776 of the family's 1533-position model. The record is from RNAcentral.
CACGUAGGGUGCGAGCGUUGUCCGGAAUUAUUGGGCGUAAAGAGCCCGUAGGCGGUGUGUCACGUCGGCCGUGAAAACCUGCAGCUUAACUGUGGGCGUGCGGUCGAUACGGGCAUCACUGGAGUUCGGCAGGGGAGACUGGAAUUCCUGGUGUAGCGGUGAAAUGCGCAGAUAUCAGGAGGAACACCGGUGGCGAAGGCGGGUCUCUGGGCCGAUACUGACGCUGAGGAGCGAAAGCGUGGGGAGCAAACAGG